ACAUUGUCCUAUGAAACAAAUAUAGGAUAAUACCUGCCCAGUGACAAUGUUCAACGGCCGCGGUAUCCUAACCGUGCAAAGGUAGCAUAAUCACUUGCCUAUUAAUUGUAGGCUAGAAUGAAGGGGUUAACGAAAUAAAAACUGUCUCAAUUAAUUACCUAAAAAUUAUUUUCUACUCGAAGAAAAGUAGAUAAUCUCGAAGGACAAGAAGACCCUAUAGAGCUUAAUAAUAAUUAUAGAACUACACUAUAAAAAUAUUCGGUUGGGGCGACCCUGGGCUAAAUAAUCACCCACUACAUAAAAGAUAAAUUAAUCAAUUAAAUGACCCUUCAAAGAUCAUUAAACUAAGCUACCUUAGGGGUAACAGGCUAAUCCCACUCAAGAGUCCUUAUCAACAGUGGGGCUUGGCACCUCGAUGUUGGCUUAGGGUAUCUAUACAGCGCAAAAGUUGUAUAAAGAUGGUUUGUUCAACCAAUAAUUCCCUACGUGAU
This 491-nucleotide ribosomal RNA is filed under the name Megascolecidae sp. SC201712-01. RNAcentral describes it as "partial large subunit ribosomal RNA". It matches the Rfam family "Bacterial large subunit ribosomal RNA", at positions 1815 to 2604 of the family's 2925-position model. The record is from RNAcentral. Lineage: Eukaryota; Metazoa; Annelida; Clitellata; Crassiclitellata; Megascolecidae.